ACAGCAGCCGCCGCGGUAACACGUAGGUGGCAAGCGUUAUCCGGAAUUAUUGGGCGUAAAGCGCGCGUAGGCGGUUUUUUAAGUCUGAUGUGAAAGCCCACGGCUCAACCGUGGAGGGUCAUUGGAAACUGGAAAACUUGAGUGCAGAAGAGGAAAGUGGAAUUCCAUGUGUAGCGGUGAAAUGCGCAGAGAUAUGGAGGAACACCAGUGGCGAAGGCGACUUUCUGGUCUGUAACUGACGCUGAUGUGCGAAAGCGUGGGGAUCAAACAGGAUUAGAUACCCCAGUAGUCCCUGUCUCUUAUAC
RNAcentral lists this ribosomal RNA (305 nucleotides) under uncultured bacterium. Its description in RNAcentral is "partial 16S ribosomal RNA". It matches the Rfam family "Bacterial small subunit ribosomal RNA", at positions 508 to 807 of the family's 1533-position model. The record is from RNAcentral.